CAGCAGCCGCGGUAAUACGGAGGGUGCAAGCGUUAAUCGGAAUUACUGGGCGUAAAGCGCACGCAGGCGGUCUGACAAGUCAGAUGUGAAAUCCCCGGGCUUAACCUGGGAACUGCAUUUGAAACUGUCAGGCUGGAGUCUUGUAGAGGGGGGUGGAAUUCCAGGUGUAGCGGUGAAAUGCGUAGAGAUCUGGAGGAAUACCGGUGGCGAAGGCGGCCCCCUGGACAAAGACUGACGCUCAGGUGCGAAAGCGUGGGGAGCAAACAGGAUUAGAUACCCCCGUAGUCCAUGUCUCUUAUAC
RNAcentral lists this ribosomal RNA (301 nucleotides) under uncultured bacterium. RNAcentral describes it as "partial 16S ribosomal RNA". It matches the Rfam family "Bacterial small subunit ribosomal RNA", at positions 509 to 807 of the family's 1533-position model. The record is from RNAcentral.